This 487-nucleotide long non-coding RNA is filed under the name Physcomitrium patens. RNAcentral describes it as "long non-coding RNA (PPAT_LNC009494)". Lineage: Eukaryota; Viridiplantae; Streptophyta; Bryopsida; Funariales; Funariaceae. The record is from RNAcentral.
UUUGAUUUAGGAUUUAGGAUUUGAUUAGGGUUUGAUUUAGGGUUUGGGAUUUGGUUAGGAUUUAAUUUAGGAUUUAGGAUUUAGUUACGGUUUGAUUUAGGAUUUAGGAUUUUAUUAGGAUUUAAGAUUCAAUUAGUUUUGGCCUAAAGUUUGAAUGAAGUUCAAUAGGAUUUUAACUAGAAUUAAAUUAAGACUGAAUUGAGAUGUAUUUGAGUGAUAUUUUUGAUCCUUCUAAUAUUUCUUUAAGAAUUCUUAUUGUUUGUUUGAAAUUUCUUUGAGUUUUUUUUGAAUUUGAUUAAGCUUGCUUAGUAUUAUUAUGGUCUAAUUAGAGUAUUAUUAAUAUUCUAUUAGAAUUAGGAUUUUAUUAUUGUAAUUUCUAUUCUUUCUUCCACAGUCAGGUGCCCAGAGCAUUCUCAAGCGAGACUUCACAUAUUACGACAACGUGAAUAAUGACCAAAUAAUAAGAUGGUCUUCUAUUAAGUUAGAU